UAUCCAUGGUGUGGGCACUGCAAUAGAAGUGAUUUGAAGCAAUUUCAUGCUUUAUGAAAUGAUUCAAUAUCCAUUUGAUAAAAAUUAGAAAUUCCAGCUCUUAAUUG
Molecule: small nucleolar RNA, 107 nt
Organism: Ricinus communis (castor bean)
Lineage: Eukaryota; Viridiplantae; Streptophyta; Magnoliopsida; Malpighiales; Euphorbiaceae
Source: RefSeq, a predicted model, not a curated record